UACAGAGACCCCAAGCGUUGUCCGGAAUCACUGGGCGUAAAGGGUGCGCAGGCGGCAUGGUUAGUCGUAUGUUAAAGCUCGGGGCUUAACCUCGAAAUCGCAUACGAAACGGCCAAGCUUGAGGAUGGGAGAGGUGAAUGGAACUCAUGGUGUAGGGGUGAAAUCCGUUGAUAUCAUGGGGAACACCAAAGGCGAAGGCAAUUCACUGGCCCAUUCCUGACGCUCAUGCACGAAACCUAGGGUAGCGAAAGGG
RNAcentral lists this unclassified non-coding RNA (253 nucleotides) under Candidatus Kaiserbacteria bacterium. Its description in RNAcentral is "contains 16S-23S intergenic spacer region". It matches the Rfam family "Bacterial small subunit ribosomal RNA", at positions 524 to 776 of the family's 1533-position model. Lineage: Bacteria; Candidatus Kaiseribacteriota. The record is from RNAcentral.